Molecule: ribosomal RNA, 441 nt
Filed under: uncultured Escherichia sp.
Lineage: Bacteria; Pseudomonadati; Pseudomonadota; Gammaproteobacteria; Enterobacterales; Enterobacteriaceae
Description: bacterial SSU rRNA
Rfam family: Bacterial small subunit ribosomal RNA
Source: RNAcentral
CAACGCGAAGAACCUUACCUGGUCUUGACAUCCACGGAAGUUUUCAGAGAUGAGAAUGUGCCUUCGGGAACCGUGAGACAGGUGCUGCAUGGCUGUCGUCAGCUCGUGUUGUGAAAUGUUGGGUUAAGUCCCGCAACGAGCGCAACCCUUAUCCUUUGUUGCCAGCGGUCCGGCCGGGAACUCAAAGGAGACUGCCAGUGAUAAACUGGAGGAAGGUGGGGAUGACGUCAAGUCAUCAUGGCCCUUACGACCAGGGCUACACACGUGCUACAAUGGCGCAUACAAAGAGAAGCGACCUCGCGAGAGCAAGCGGACCUCAUAAAGUGCGUCGUAGUCCGGAUUGGAGUCUGCAACUCGACUCCAGAAGUCGGAAUCGCUAGUAAUCGUGGACCAGAAUGCCACGGUGAAUACGUUCCCGGGCCUUGUACACACCGCCCGUAA